Molecule: ribosomal RNA, 671 nt
Filed under: Serratia sp. (in: enterobacteria)
Lineage: Bacteria; Pseudomonadati; Pseudomonadota; Gammaproteobacteria; Enterobacterales; Yersiniaceae
Description: bacterial SSU rRNA
Rfam family: Bacterial small subunit ribosomal RNA
Source: RNAcentral
GUCAAUUUGGAGGUUGUGCCCUUGAGGCGUGGCUUCCGGAGCUAACGCGUUAAAUCGACCGCCUGGGGAGUACGGCCGCAAGGUUAAAACUCAAAUGAAUUGACGGGGGCCCGCACAAGCGGUGGAGCAUGUGGUUUAAUUCGAUGCAACGCGAAGAACCUUACCUACUCUUGACAUCCAGAGAACUUUCCAGAGAUGCAUUGGUGCCUUCGGGAACUCUGAGACAGGUGCUGCAUGGCUGUCGUCAGCUCGUGUUGUGAAAUGUUGGGUUAAGUCCCGCAACGAGCGCAACCCUUAUCCUUUGUUGCCAGCGGUUCGGCCGGGAACUCAAAGGAGACUGCCAGUGAUAAACUGGAGGAAGGUGGGGAUGACGUCAAGUCAUCAUGGCCCUUACGAGUAGGGCUACACACGUGCUACAAUGGCGUAUACAAAGAGAAGCGACCUCGCGAGAGCAAGCGGACCUCAUAAAGUACGUCGUAGUCCGGAUUGGAGUCUGCAACUCGACUCCAUGAAGUCGGAAUCGCUAGUAAUCGUAGAUCAGAAUGCUACGGUGAAUACGUUCCCGGGCCUUGUACACACCGCCCGUCACACCAUGGGAGUGGGUUGCAAAAGAAGUAGGUAGCUUAACCUUCGGGAGGGCGCUUACCACUUUGUGAUUCAUGACUGGGGUG